RNAcentral lists this long non-coding RNA (435 nucleotides) under Canis lupus familiaris (dog). RNAcentral describes it as "lncRNA (ENSCAFG00000053820.1)". Lineage: Eukaryota; Metazoa; Chordata; Mammalia; Carnivora; Canidae. The record is from RNAcentral.
CUCAUGCAACAGAGCCAUGUGGAUAGCAGCUACCAGCCUACUGUGGUGACAUCAGUAGCCAUAACCCCAACCACAGCCAACAAGAAGAGAAUGAAGACCACCACAAAACAAGACAGUGGGCUCCAAGUGGGGCACACACACCCCAGAAGAUAUGCAAGAGGCCACAGACGAUGUGAAGAAUAUAUUAAAACUUCUAACAUUUAUCCAAAAGGACUCUUCCUGUGUCUGAAGGUCCCCAAGCCUGGGGCUCUUCCAGAUUCCAAGCCACAUGCCAGCCCAUGUGCACCUAAUAAAAGCCUGAUUAGAUUUUUCUUCUCCCAAGAAAGUUUCUCUGCCUAUGUCAAGCAUGUUCCUCUGACUGCCUGGAUACCCAGAUGUAAUAAAUAUGCUAAGAGUGAAAAUAGCUUCCAUUCUCUGCUCAAUUAAGAAGAGGCC